This 491-nucleotide ribosomal RNA is filed under the name uncultured bacterium. RNAcentral's name for it is "partial 16S ribosomal RNA". It matches the Rfam family "Bacterial small subunit ribosomal RNA", at positions 29 to 507 of the family's 1533-position model. The record is from RNAcentral.
GUGAACGCUGGCGGUAGGCCUAACACAUGCAAGUCGAACGGCAGCACAGUAGGAGCUUGCUCUUACGGGUGGCGAGUGGCGGACGGGUGAGGAAUACAUCGGAAUCUACUUUUUCGUGGGGGAUAACGUAGGGAAACUUACGCUAAUACCGCAUACGACCUACGGGUGAAAGCAGGGGAUCUUCGGACCUUGCGCGAUUGAAUGAGCCGAUGUCGGAUUAGCUAGUUGGCGGGGUAAAGGCCCACCAAGGCGACGAUCCGUAGCUGGUCUGAGAGGAUGAUCAGCCACACUGGAACUGAGACACGGUCCAGACUCCUACGGGAGGCAGCAGUGGGGAAUAUUGGACAAUGGGCGCAAGCCUGAUCCAGCCAUACCGCGUGGGUGAAGAAGGCCUUCGGGUUGUAAAGCCCUUUUGUUGGGAAAGAAGAGCAGCAGGUUAAUACCCCGCUGUUCUGACGGUACCCAAAGAAUAAGCACCGGCUAACUUCGUG